Molecule: ribosomal RNA, 276 nt
Filed under: uncultured Rikenellaceae bacterium
Lineage: Bacteria; Pseudomonadati; Bacteroidota; Bacteroidia; Bacteroidales; Rikenellaceae
Description: partial 16S ribosomal RNA
Rfam family: Bacterial small subunit ribosomal RNA
Source: RNAcentral
UAGUUGUCCACGCGGGUCGAUGCCGGGGACGUCUAGCGGAACUGCCAGCGUAAGCUGCGAGGAAGGUGGGGAGUGACGUCAAAUCAGCACGGCCCUUACGUCCAGGGCUACACACGUGUUACAAUGGCCGGUACAGAGGGCAGCCACCCCGCGAGGGGGCGCGAAUCCCGAAAGCCGGUCCCAGUUCGGAUCGGAGUCUGCAACCCGACUCCGUGAAGCUGGAUUCGCUAGUAAUCGCGCAUCAGCCACGGCGCGGUGAAUACGUUCCCGGGCCUU